GGGUUGUGAGGUUAAGCGACUAAGCGUACACGGUGGAUGCCCUGGCAGUCAGAGGCGAUGAAGGGCGUGCUAAUCUGCGAUAAGCGCCGGUAAGGUGAUAUGAACCGUUAUAACCGGCGAUACCCGAAUGGGGAAACCCAGUGUGACUCGUCACACUAUCAUUAACUGAAUCCAUAGGUUAAUGAGGCGAACCGGGGGAACUGAAACAUCUAAGUACCCGAGGAAAAGAAAUCAACCGAGAUUCCCCAGUAGCGGCGAGCGAACGGGGAGGAGCCCAGAGCCUGAAUCAGCAUGUGUGUUAGUGGAAGCGUCUGGAAAGGCGCGCGAUACAGGGUGACAGCCCCGUACACAAAAGCGCAUGUGCUGUGAGCUCGAUGAGUAGGGCGGGACACGUGGUAUCCUGUCUGAAUAUGGGGGGACCAUCCUCCAAGGCUAAAUACUCCUGACUGACCGAUAGUGAACCAGUACCGUGAGGGAAAGGCGAAAAGAACCCCGGCGAGGGGAGUGAAAAAGAACCUGAAACCGUGUACGUACAAGCAGUGGGAGCACCCUUUGGGUGUGACUGCGUACCUUUUGUAUAAUGGGUCAGCGACUUAUAUUCUGUAGCAAGGUUAACCGAAUAGGGGAGCCGGAGGGAAACCGAGUCUUAACCGGGCGUUAAGUUGCAGGGUAUAGACCCGAAACCCGGUGAUCUAGCCAUGGGCAGGUUGAAGGUUGGGUAACACUAACUGGAGGACCGAACCGACUAAUGUUGAAAAAUUAGCGGAUGACCUGUGGCUGGGGGUGAAAGGCCAAUCAAACCGGGAGAUAGCUGGUUCUCCCCGAAAGCUAUUUAGGUAGCGCCUCGUGAAUUCAUCUCCGGGGGUAGAGCACUGUUUCGGCUAGGGGGCCAUCCCGGCUUACCAACCCGAUGCAAACUGCGAAUACCGGAGAAUGUUAUCACGGGAGACACACGGCGGGUGCUAACGUCCGUCGUGAAGAGGGAAACAACCCAGACCGCCAGCUAAGGUCCCAAAGUCAUGGUUAAGUGGGAAACGAUGUGGGAAGGCCCAGACAGCCAGGAUGUUGGCUUAGAAGCAGCCAUCAUUUAAAGAAAGCGUAAUAGCUCACUGGUCGAGUCGGCCUGCGCGGAAGAUGUAACGGGGCUAAACCAUGCACCGAAGCUGCGGCAGCGACACUGUGUGUUGUUGGGUAGGGAGCGUUCUGUAAGCCUGCGAAGGUGGCCUGUGAGGGUUGCUGGAGGUAUCAGAAGUGCGAAUGCUGACAUAAGUAACGAUAAAGCGGGUGAAAAGCCCGCUCGCCGGAAGACCAAGGGUUCCUGUCCAACGUUAAUCGGGGCAGGGUGAGUCGACCCCUAAGGCGAGGCCGAAAGGCGUAGUCGAUGGGAAACGGGUUAAUAUUCCCGUACUUGGUGUUACUGCGAAGGGGGGACGGAGAAGGCUAUGUUGGCCGGGCGACGGUUGUCCCGGUUUAAGCGUGUAGGUGUGUGUUCGGGUAAAUCCGGUUCACUUUAACACUGAGGCGUGACGACGAGGCACUACGGUGCUGAAGCAACAAAUGCCCUGCUUCCAGGAAAAGCCUCUAAGCAUCAGGUAACAUCAAAUCGUACCCCAAACCGACACAGGUGGUCAGGUAGAGAAUACCAAGGCGCUUGAGAGAACUCGGGUGAAGGAACUAGGCAAAAUGGUGCCGUAACUUCGGGAGAAGGCACGCUGACACGUAGGUGAAGUGAUUUACUCAUGGAGCUGAAGUCAGUCGAAGAUACCAGCUGGCUGCAACUGUUUAUUAAAAACACAGCACUGUGCAAACACGAAAGUGGACGUAUACGGUGUGACGCCUGCCCGGUGCCGGAAGGUUAAUUGAUGGGGUCAGCGCAAGCGAAGCUCCUGAUCGAAGCCCCGGUAAACGGCGGCCGUAACUAUAACGGUCCUAAGGUAGCGAAAUUCCUUGUCGGGUAAGUUCCGACCUGCACGAAUGGCGUAAUGAUGGCGAGGCUGUCUCCACCCGAGACUCAGUGAAAUUGAACUCGCUGUGAAGAUGCAGUGUACCCGCGGCAAGACGGAAAGACCCCGUGAACCUUUACUAUAGCUUGACACUGAACAUUGAGCCUUGAUGUGUAGGAUAGGUGGGAGGCUUUGAAGUGUGGACGCCAGUCUGCAUGGAGCCGACCUUGAAAUACCACCCUUUAAUGUUUGAUGUUCUAACGUGGACCCGUUACCCGGGUUGCGGACAGUGUCUGGUGGGUAGUUUGACUGGGGCGGUCUCCUCCUAAAGAGUAACGGAGGAGCACGAAGGUUGGCUAAUCCUGGUCGGACAUCAGGAGGUUAGUGCAAUGGCAUAAGCCAGCUUGACUGCGAGCGUGACGGCGCGAGCAGGUGCGAAAGCAGGUCAUAGUGAUCCGGUGGUUCUGAAUGGAAGGGCCAUCGCUCAACGGAUAAAAGGUACUCCGGGGAUAACAGGCUGAUACCGCCCAAGAGUUCAUAUCGACGGCGGUGUUUGGCACCUCGAUGUCGGCUCAUCACAUCCUGGGGCUGAAGUAGGUCCCAAGGGUAUGGCUGUUCGCCAUUUAAAGUGGUACGCGAGCUGGGUUUAGAACGUCGUGAGACAGUUCGGUCCCUAUCUGCCGUGGGCGCUGGAGAACUGAGGGGGGCUGCUCCUAGUACGAGAGGACCGGAGUGGACGCAUCACUGGUGUUCGGGUUGUCAUGCCAAUGGCACUGCCCGGUAGCUAAAUGCGGAAGAGAUAAGUGCUGAAAGCAUCUAAGCACGAAACUUGCCCCGAGAUGAGUUCUCCCUGAGACUUAGAGUCUCCUGAAGGAACGUUGAAGACGACGACGUUGAUAGGCCGGGUGUGUAAGCGCAGCGAUGCGUUGAGCUAACCGGUACUAAUGAACCGUGAGGCUUAACCUUACAACGCCGAAG
RNAcentral lists this ribosomal RNA (2921 nucleotides) under Salmonella enterica. RNAcentral's name for it is "23S ribosomal RNA". It matches the Rfam family "Bacterial large subunit ribosomal RNA". Lineage: Bacteria; Pseudomonadati; Pseudomonadota; Gammaproteobacteria; Enterobacterales; Enterobacteriaceae. The record is from RNAcentral.